RNAcentral lists this ribosomal RNA (433 nucleotides) under uncultured bacterium. RNAcentral describes it as "bacterial SSU rRNA". It matches the Rfam family "Bacterial small subunit ribosomal RNA", at positions 485 to 920 of the family's 1533-position model. The record is from RNAcentral.
AAUAAGGAUCGGCUAACUCCGUGCCAGCAGCCGCGGUAAGACGAAGGAUGCAAGCGUUAUCCGGAUUCAUUGGGUUUAAAGGGAGCGUAGGUGGAUUUGUAAGUCAGUGGUGAAAGCCGGCAGCUUAACUGUCGAACUGCCAUUGAUACUGCGGAUCUUGAGUAUGGUUGCUGUGGGCGGAAUAUGACAUGUAGAGGUGAAAUUCAUAGAGAUGUCAUAGAACACCGAUUGCGAAGGCAGCUCACAAAGCCAUUACUGACACUGAGGCUCGAAAGUGCGGGGAUCAAACAGGAUUAGAUACCCUGGUAGUCCGCACUGUAAACGAUGAUUACUCGCUGCUAGGAGGUAACUUUUAGUGGCUAAGCGAAAGCGAUAAGUAAUCCACCUGGGGAGUACGCCGGCAACGGUGAAACUCAAAGGAAUUGACGGGGGG